AGAACGAACGCUGGCGGCAUGCCUAACACAUGCAAGUCGAACGAGACCUUCGGGUCUAGUGGCGCACGGGUGCGUAACGCGUGGGAAUCUGCCCUUGGGUUCGGAAUAACAGCGAGAAAUUGCUGCUAAUACCGGAUGAUGACGUAAGUCCAAAGAUUUAUCGCCCAAGGAUGAGCCCGCGUAGGAUUAGCUUGUUGGUGAGGUAAGAGCUCACCAAGGCGACGAUCCUUAGCUGGUCUGAGAGGAUGAUCAGCCACACUGGGACUGAGACACGGCCCAGACUCCUACGGGAGGCAGCAGUGGGGAAUAUUGGACAAUGGGCGAAAGCCUGAUCCAGCAACGCCGCGUGAGUGAUGAAGGCCUUAGGGUGUAAAGCUCUUUACCGGAUGAUAAUGACAGUACCGGAGAAUAAGCUCCGACUAACUCCGUGACCAGCAGCCGC
Molecule: ribosomal RNA, 442 nt
Filed under: uncultured soil bacterium
Lineage: Bacteria
Description: bacterial SSU rRNA
Rfam family: Bacterial small subunit ribosomal RNA
Source: RNAcentral